CUAACUCUGAUUACACGAGGAAACCGGGUCUACUUGUUGAAAAUGUGGUAAUGAGAUAGUUUCCACCCAGACGGGAAGCCCGGUUCUGGCGGGGGAGGGGCGCCCGCAUUUCUUCUGGUCUCUGUCUACCCACCCGAGGAAGGUAGAAAUGAUCAGGUCAGCGAGCUCUUCUUUUCCUUUACCAAUUUUUUUUUUCUUUUUCUUUUUCCUUUUUUUUUUUUUUAAAGCUGGGUGUCUUACUUGGGUCCGUACGGCUGAGCGGGCUGAUGCAGAAAUACUGGUGGAAACUAGCAGAGACUUCUGAUGGCAUAUGUGUUUCCUGCGAGUGCAGCCUUGCAGCACCGGGGAACCGGGGAUUAGGGGCAGAGCCAUUUUAUCGUCCAAAUUCUACUUUGUUUCCUUGGGGACACGUUGUGCUUAUUUGUUGACUUCAAAUGAGAACUGCUUCAGGAGCGUUGUCAAAGAAGCCAAAGGGAUUCGUUAAGCGGACGGGCUGUUUUAGAACGGAGACGUUCGGAGACAAUAAUGACUAAGGUCAUUUUGGCUGAUGUUUACUGAGCUGAUGGCCGUGUGCCAGGCACCGUUUUAAGGUUUGGUUGUGAUUAGCUCCUGUAACCUUCCAGAGCGGGCCCCGUGCAGCGGGCGGCGAUGUUCUUCCCAUUGUACAGGUGAGGCAGGCAAGUCGAGUCAGCAGGCUGAGGUUUCCCAGCAGCUGAGCUGGGAGCCAGGGUUUGGGUCUAAGCUGGCUCUGAGGACCGUGUUUGAUUCAGUUCCGGUUUCUGAGAAAAUCUGCAUGUUCGUUUUUGGGAGCUGCUGAGCCGAAGAAGCCCAUUGGCUGUGAGUGAAAUAGUGGGGUAGCUGGCUUUGGGUCCAUCGCACUACGGAGGACCAAGGCAGACGGCUAAUCUUCAGUGUAGACUCCUGAUUUCUUGGUCACUCUAUACCUCCCAGGGGCGUGGCUCUAACCUUAAUCUCCUCUCCAGUAUUUUCCCCAAACCCCAGCAUCCUGUUUGAGGGUGUGGCUGGAGAGCUGUGGUCGGGAGACAGGGGCUCAGCCACCUGGCACGCUUCCCUGGAGCCACUCACCUCUGACCCUCUUCUUUAGGUGCCUCUCCGGUCUCGCUUGACCUCCAGUUUGGAGAAGGUGUCCAAAGAACCCUGAAAGGCAGGUAGGCAUCUCCCAGCUUCCGAUCACUCGGAUUGAGGUAUCUUUCUUCAAAGACUUCCACUUGCUUUGUCUACACUGAGGAGUCGUUCUGGUGGUCAAGAGCUGCUCAGGUUCUGGAGUGGACAGACUCGGGGCCAGCUCUGUCUGUCUCACAUCAUAGAAACACUCUUGCUUCUCUUCUCCCGCCCAGAAUAAGUACCCUGGCAGGGCCGUGCAGUGGUUGAGAACAGACCUGGUUCUGAGUGCGGGUGAGCUCCUGUGUGGCCGUGGGCAAUGGUCUUUGUGACACCAGCCUGUCCUAAUUGAACGCUCCCUAUGUGCCAAAUUCCCCCAAAGCAUUUUAGUAGUGAGGACUUAUUUAUUCCUCCAAAUACACCUGUCAGUGAUUACUCUUACCUCCGUCUGUAAAAGGCCAGGGGUGGAGGUGGGGAGGGAGCUCCAGUGAGACGGCAAAGGCAAUAGUUGGGUAGCCCAGGGUCUUGGUUUGAACCUGGAAACCCGUUUCAAGAGCUCAGCCCUAGAACUCACUACCUGUCUCACCACUCGGAGGUGUGGCUUCUAAUCUGGGUGACGAGGGUACCAAUUCUGCCUGGGUAUCCAGAAAUGGUGCAAAUAAUGUACUUGGCCCAUAAGAAGUACUUAAUCAAUGGUCACUAUUAUUAUUCUCUAGUCUCCGAGGCCAAAGUCAACCGCUUAGUACAGAACAGAAUGGCAUGAGUCAGCAUGGGCUUUGGAAUUUGUUCGGGCUAGAAUUCUACUUCAUUCUUGUUGUAGAAUCUCAAGCAAGUUAAAGAAGUUAGUAAGGCAGAAAGUGAGUUAACCUCGAAUGGCUACGGUCUCCUCCUCUGCCAGAUGAAUUUAAGUCUACAGGUUAUCAGGAGAAUGGG
Molecule: long non-coding RNA, 2055 nt
Organism: Lynx canadensis (Canada lynx)
Lineage: Eukaryota; Metazoa; Chordata; Mammalia; Carnivora; Felidae
Source: Ensembl